This 492-nucleotide ribosomal RNA is filed under the name uncultured bacterium. RNAcentral describes it as "partial 16S ribosomal RNA". It matches the Rfam family "Bacterial small subunit ribosomal RNA", at positions 29 to 507 of the family's 1533-position model. The record is from RNAcentral.
AGUGAACGCUGGCGGUAGGCCUAACACAUGCAAGUCGAACGGCAGCACAGUAAGAGCUUGCUCUUACGGGUGGCGAGUGGCGGACGGGUGAGGAAUACAUCGGAAUCUACUUUUUCGUGGGGGAUAACGUAGGGAAACUUACGCUAAUACCGCAUACGACCUACGGGUGAAAGCAGGGGAUCUUCGGACCUUGCGCGAUUGAAUGAGCCGAUGUCGGAUUAGCUAGUUGGCGGGGUAAAGGCCCACCAAGGCGACGAUCCGUAGCUGGUCUGAGAGGAUGAUCAGCCACACUGGAACUGAGACACGGUCCAGACUCCUACGGGAGGCAGCAGUGGGGAAUAUUGGACAAUGGGCGCAAGCCUGAUCCAGCCAUACCGCGUGAGUGAAGAAGGCCUUCGGGUUGUAAAACCCUUUUGUUGGGAAAGAAAAGCAGCAGGUGAAUACCCCGCUGUUCUGACGGUACCCAAAGAAUAAGCACCGGCUAACUUCGUG